GACCUCGUAGCUCAGUCGGCAGAGUAACGGUAGAUCUAAUCCGGAGGUCGUGGGUUCGAUUCCCACCGAGGUCA
This is a non-coding RNA of Pocillopora verrucosa, 74 nucleotides long. The record is from the annotation of a RefSeq genome assembly. Lineage: Eukaryota; Metazoa; Cnidaria; Anthozoa; Scleractinia; Pocilloporidae.